Molecule: ribosomal RNA, 463 nt
Filed under: uncultured bacterium
Lineage: Bacteria
Description: bacterial SSU rRNA
Rfam family: Bacterial small subunit ribosomal RNA
Source: RNAcentral
AACGAACGCUGGCGGCGCGCCUAAUACAUGCAAGUCGAACGAGAAGCUGUAGCAAUACAGUUGUACAGUGGCGAACGGGUGAGGAAUACAUGGGUGACCUACCCUCGAGUGGGGAAUAACCAGCCGAAAGGUUGGCUAAUACCGCGUACGCUUCCCAGUCUACGGGUUGGGAAGGAAAGCGAUGCCGUGGGUAUCGCGCUCAAGGUUGGGCUCAUGUCCUAUCAGCUGUUGGUGGGGUAACGGCUCACCAAGGCAACGACGGGUAGCUGGUCUGAGAGGACGAUCAGCCACACUGGCACUGCGACACGGGCCAGACUCCUACGGGAGGCAGCAGUAAGGAAUAUUGCGCAAUGGGCGAAAGCCUGACGCAGCGACGCCGCGUGGGGGAUGAAGGUCUUCGGAUUGUAAACCCCUUUCGGGAGGGAAGAUGGAACGAGCAAUCGUUCGGACGGUACCUCCAGAA